UAGAUGAAUGCUCGCUGGUUAGGGCACUUAGCUGUUAACUAAGAGUUUGUAGGAUCGAGGCCUGCUCAUCUAG
This 73-nucleotide transfer RNA is filed under the name Telmatherina celebensis (Celebes rainbow). Its description in RNAcentral is "tRNA-Asn". It matches the Rfam family "tRNA". Rfam says of the family: Transfer RNA (tRNA) molecules are approximately 80 nucleotides in length. Their secondary structure includes four short double-helical elements and three loops (D, anti-codon, and T loops). Further hydrogen bonds mediate the characteristic L-shaped molecular structure. tRNAs have two regions of fundamental functional importance: the anti-codon, which is responsible for specific mRNA codon recognition, and the 3' end, to which the tRNAs corresponding amino acid is attached (by aminoacyl-tRNA synthetases). tRNAs cope with the degeneracy of the genetic code in two manners: having more than one tRNA (with a specific anti-codon) for a particular amino acid; and 'wobble' base-pairing, i.e. permitting non-standard base-pairing at the 3rd anti-codon position. The record is from RNAcentral. Lineage: Eukaryota; Metazoa; Chordata; Actinopteri; Atheriniformes; Telmatherinidae.